This 602-nucleotide ribosomal RNA is filed under the name uncultured bacterium. RNAcentral describes it as "bacterial SSU rRNA". It matches the Rfam family "Bacterial small subunit ribosomal RNA", at positions 43 to 645 of the family's 1533-position model. The record is from RNAcentral.
CAGGCCUAACACAUGCAAGUCGAACGGGAAGCGGUGCAUAUUUGCUUCGGUGAAUUUUGUGCCGUGGAGAGUGGCGAACGGGUGCGUAACACGUAGGUAACCUGCCCCGAAAGGGGGGAUAACCACGGGAAACUGUGGCUAAUACCGCAUGAUCUCGCCGGGACGAGAGUUCGGUGAGGAAAGCUGAGGCGAUUUGGGAGGGGCCUGCGGUCGAUUAGCUGGUUGGUGGGGUAAAGGCCUACCAAGGCGAUGAUCGAUAGCUGUUCUGAGAGGAAGACCAGCCACACGGGAACUGAGACACGGUUCCGACUCCUACGGGGGGCAGCAGUGAGGAAUAUUGCGCAAUGGGGGAAACCCUGACGCAGCAACGCCGCGUGGAGGAUGAAGGUUUUCGGAUUGUAAACUCCUUAACUGGGGGAAGAGGAAGGACGGUACCCCAGGACGAAGACACGGCUAACUAGGUGCCAGCAGCCGCGGUAAUACCUAGGUGUCAAGCGUUAUCCGGAAUUACUGGGCGUAAAGGGUGCGCAGGCGGCGAUACAAGUCUGGCGUGAAAGCUCCUGGCUUAACUGGGAGAGGACGUCGGAAACUGUAUGGCUAGA